UUUAAUCUGUUUUUAUGGAGUCGUCCCUGGCCAUGUCGACGCUUGAGUUUCCUGGGGAGCGCGGGGGUGCUGCCAUUGGGGUGGUCAUGGGCAAUGGACGUUACAGCGGUGGGGGCUUAACAUGUCCGCAUAGAAGGAGGAGGGACAGAUGGCUGACACCUGUCCCUCCUUCUGGUUCUGCCCCCAGCCAAAGGGUUCCAGGUAGUCUUGUCAACCGCCCCUCGGGCCUGACGGUGCUGCUGCUCAAUGCCAGGUCAGUCCACAAUAAAUCUUCCCUCAUCCAUGACUUGAUUGUGGAUGAGGGAACCAAGCUGGCUUGCAUAACAGAGACCUGGGCGGGAGAGGGGGGAUGUCUCCCUCUCUCAAAUGUGGCCGCCCAGGUAUCUGGUUCAGCACCAUCCACACCUGGAGGGGAGGGGAGGGGGGUCGCUUUGGCUUACCGAGCCUCCAUCUUCCUCACAGGACUUCCGGUCCCUUCGAGGCCAGGGCUGGAGUGCCUCUACUUGGUGUUGGGUGACCAAGACAGAUUGGGGAUUCUGUUGGUGUACCGUGCACCCUUCUGCCCAACAGUCUCCCUGCCCGAGCUGACGGAGAUCGUCUCGGACCUGGUGUUGAGGACUCCCAGGAUGUUGGUCUUGGGGGACUUCAAUCUCCAUGCCGAGACUGGUCUGACCGGGGCGGCUCAGGACUUCAUGGCCUCCAUGAUGGCCAUGGGGCUGUCUCAACAUGUCACUGGCCCAACCCAUGAACGUGGACACACUCUGGACCUGGUUUUCUCGACAGGGCAGGAAAAGGGUGGUCUGAGGAUGAGGAAUUUAUGUCUGACACCCGUCAUGGUCAGAUCACUUCCUGGUGAGGUUUGUGCUUGAGAGCGGCCUCUCCCUCUGUAAGGGUGCGGACUCGAUUGUGUGGGUCCACCACCAGAGCCGGAUAGAUCCGGAUGGAUUCCUGAAGGCCCUGGGGGAGUUUCCGGCUGAUAAGACUGGUGCUCCUGUCGAGGCUCUGGUCAAACUGCAGAACAGGGAGAUGACCAGGGCUGUUGACAUGAUCGCUCCUAAGCAUCCUCUCCCACUGGGCAGAGCCCACUCUUCCCCUUGGUAUACACCUGAAUUGCGGGCAAUGAAGCAGGCUGGGAGAUGGCUAGAGCAUAGGUGGAGGAGAUCACGGGAUGAAUCUGACCGAACACACUUAAGAGCCCAUUAUCGGGCCUAUGCUGUGGCGGUGAGGGCGGCG
Molecule: long non-coding RNA, 1233 nt
Filed under: Varanus komodoensis (Komodo dragon)
Lineage: Eukaryota; Metazoa; Chordata; Lepidosauria; Squamata; Varanidae
Description: lncRNA (ENSVKKG00000000633.1)
Source: RNAcentral